CUCGUAGGCGGCCAACUAAGUCAAACGUGAAAUCCCUCGGCUUAACCGGGGAACUGCGCUUGAUACUGGAUGGCUUGAGAUUGGGAGAGGGAUGCGGAAUUCCAGGUGUAGCGGUGAAAUGCGUAGAUAUCUGGAGGAACACCGGUGGCGAAGGCGGCAUCCUGGACCAACACUGACGCUGAGGAGCGAAAGCCAGGGGGAGCAAACG
RNAcentral lists this ribosomal RNA (208 nucleotides) under uncultured bacterium. RNAcentral describes it as "partial 16S ribosomal RNA". It matches the Rfam family "Bacterial small subunit ribosomal RNA", at positions 568 to 774 of the family's 1533-position model. The record is from RNAcentral.